Molecule: long non-coding RNA, 618 nt
Organism: Coffea arabica (coffee)
Lineage: Eukaryota; Viridiplantae; Streptophyta; Magnoliopsida; Gentianales; Rubiaceae
Source: RefSeq, a predicted model, not a curated record
AGAGAGACAUAUUUCUCCAUUGCCUCCAUUUUUGACCAAGUAGCAUGCAAGUUGACUAAGCCAAAUUUACUUCCUCUUGUUUCUUUUCUUUAGCUCAACCACCGAGAGAAAGAAAAACAAAGACAAACAAGACUGCUCACUUGUUUUGUCCCACCUUAGCCGAGAGAGAGUAGAGAGAGUUGAGAGGAAAAGGUUGUGGCUUGCACCCACCUUCCAGCCGAGAGAAAAUUUGGGGAAAACAAAGAAAUUUCCCUUGUUUUGUUUCCACUUCAGCCAAGAGGAACCAGCGAGAGAAAACUGAAAGGAAGCUUGAGUCUUGUUUCCAUUUCCAACUUGUUUGAUCGAGUAGAAGGACCAAAACAGGGGAGUUAACUUCUAGCUUGUUUUAAAGAUUUGGACUCCAACCAAGGAGUUGGACCUGAAUGUGACUUUUGAGAGGCACUAGACCUUUGGUGAGUGCUUCCAAAUACCUAAUUGAACUGGACACUAGUUUUAAUAUUUGACCAAUAUGGUCGAAUGAUAUGUGAUUGGUAUGAUCGAGCAAGGGUGUACUUUAUCGCACUUGCCCUAAUGUGAUAUGUACUUGUUUAUUGUUGCAAUUGAUUUGAGAUACUUGUA